UACAGGGGGGGCAAGCGUUGUUCGGAAUUACUGGGCGUAAAGGGCCAGUAGGCGGCCAACUAAGUCACACGUGAAAUCCCCAGGCUUAACCUGGGAACUGCGUGUGAUACUGGAUGGCUUGAAUUCGGGAGAGGGAUGCAGAAUUCCAGGUGUAGCGGUGAUAUGCGUAGAUAUCUGGAGGAAUACCGGUGGCGAAGGCGGCAUCCUGGACCGACAUUGACGCUGAACGGCGAAAGCUAGGGGAGCAAACGGG
RNAcentral lists this ribosomal RNA (253 nucleotides) under uncultured bacterium. Its description in RNAcentral is "partial 16S ribosomal RNA". It matches the Rfam family "Bacterial small subunit ribosomal RNA", at positions 524 to 776 of the family's 1533-position model. The record is from RNAcentral.